GUUUAGGUAGUUUAUAUAAAAUAUUAACUUUGGAAGUUAAUGAACGAUUUUAUCGCUUAUUUA
Molecule: transfer RNA, 63 nt
Filed under: Omalonyx unguis
Lineage: Eukaryota; Metazoa; Mollusca; Gastropoda; Stylommatophora; Succineidae
Description: tRNA-Pro
Source: RNAcentral